RNAcentral lists this long non-coding RNA (360 nucleotides) under Lupinus angustifolius (narrow-leaved blue lupine). Its description in RNAcentral is "long non-coding RNA (LANG_LNC000046)". Lineage: Eukaryota; Viridiplantae; Streptophyta; Magnoliopsida; Fabales; Fabaceae. The record is from RNAcentral.
UUCAGCAGUUGUUCUACAGGAAUGUUAUAAAGAGCUGUGGCAGUAUAUCUAAAAAGCGAGUUGAAUGCAGCUGUCUUCUGCAGGUAUGUUGGAAUUCAUAAACUUCCUAUAAAAAAAAUUGCAUUUGUUAUUGGAUGGAUGUUCAUGAUAGAAAUCAUAAUGAAAACCUGAUGAGAGUGUGUGCUUAGAUUCUGAUAUAGAAUAUUUAAAACUUCUUGCUACCUUUAAUUCUUCAGACCAUUUGUGUAUUUACCUAGAUCAGAAGCUUCAAUUUGCAAGCUUGAAUCUAACUUCUGGUUCUAUGGAAAACUUGAAUGUGAAACAAAUUUUCCUCAAACUUUUAGCUGACUUCGAUCCUCA